CAGUAGCCGCGGGAAUACGAAGGGUGCAAGCGUUACUCGGAAUUACUGGGCGUAAAGCGUGCGUAGGUGGUGGUUUAAGUCCGUUGUGAAAGCCCUGGGCUCAACCUGGGAAUUGCAGUGGAUACUGGGUCACUAGAGUGUGGUAGAGGAUAGUGGAAUUUCCGGUGUAGCAGUGAAAUGCGUAGAGAUCGGAAGGAACAUCUGUGGCGAAGGCGACUAUCUGGGCCAACACUGACACUGAGGCACGAAAGCGUGGGGAGCGAACAGGAUUAGAUACCCGUGUAGUCCCUGUCUCUUAUAC
Molecule: ribosomal RNA, 301 nt
Filed under: uncultured bacterium
Lineage: Bacteria
Description: partial 16S ribosomal RNA
Rfam family: Bacterial small subunit ribosomal RNA
Source: RNAcentral